RNAcentral lists this long non-coding RNA (3562 nucleotides) under Ficedula albicollis (Collared flycatcher). RNAcentral describes it as "lncRNA (ENSFALG00000026869.1)". Lineage: Eukaryota; Metazoa; Chordata; Aves; Passeriformes; Muscicapidae. The record is from RNAcentral.
AAACAAAACAAAACAAAACAAGGAAAAAAAAAAGGCCCAUUUUAUACUUGGACAAAUGUUUCUGUGAAAAGAAUGAUGAAAUUUUUCUGGAAUACGGUCUGGAGCAUGGAGAAAGAUGAAGAGACAACAUGAAACAGCAACAGUAUAUGCAUCAUGUACUGUAAUUCAUCUCUGUAAUUCAAAUAUGGGAUGUACCUCCAAACCUACCUGCCUGCCUACCUCCUUCUUCUGCCUCUCUGGAUUUACAGCUUCACUUGCAGAGACUAAAGCAAAGAGCAGUGAGAUGAACAAUUGUAUUGCCUUUUCUGUGACAGAACAGACCACCCAGCUGUGCAGCGCAGUCUCUGCAAUGCUGCGAUCACCAACAUGCUGCACAAGAUUGCAGCUGCUUUUUCCACCUGUUUCUCUUCUGAGAAUUAGCAUCUCAAACCAUAAAAAUGCAGGAAAUCGAUGUGAGUAGCACAAAACAUGUUUGUAAAAGCAAAUGUUUCACCUCCUGGAAAAGACGUGUGAAGUAAGACUCCCUGAUGGUUCAAGUGUUUAUUUUUAGACCUAAUACAGAUGUGUCCAAACUGUUGGGAACUUUGUUAGGAUACUGAGAUAUCCAAACUGCCUGUGAAUAAGAAGCAGGGUAAGCUCCAAGCUUCCAGACAGCACAAGAAAUAUCAAACAGUCAAACCUGAGGGUAAGGAGUUGGGGCUGGUCCAGCCCUACCCUGGGAAGGUGAGUAAAAGAUGUGGAGCUAGGCAUCCUGGCAGGGUUUGGGCUUGUGAAAGAGUGAGAGAGUGAGGUGGUGACGGCUGCUGCUCGAAUAGUCUGCUGCUUCUUGGCAAUGCUGCCCCGCACGUCUGACUCCACCCUGCAAUACCGGAACAGCCCUCACUUUCCAGGGCUCUGGCACAGGCAAAGCGGGCAACAGAACCACAACUAUGCUGUGUUCCCAGAAAUCUGCAGCCAGAGGCAAGUGCCUGCUGUGUCUUUGCCUGGAGAAAGCCCUUGAGGAAAAUGUAACUCACGCAGUAAAUGCAAGAUACUGUGGCUAGGAGUCUUCUAGUGCCCGCAGCAGCGCUCUUGGAGCUGCUCGAGGGAUCUCCAUCGCACGGCGCACGACACUGCUGUUGUAACAGCUGCUCCUUGUUCGGUGGGGACAGUGCCAGUACUUCACUGGAGCCCUGCAGCAGUACAUACAGAGCCAGUAUAUUUACAGUUCUCAGGAACUCGCAGUUCCCUCCAAGUGGAAAAUUCAUGUUAUUCUAUGUUUUACACGGUAUCAGUGCUAAAAGACAUUAGAACCCUUCCAUCCCUUUUACAGCUACAUCCAGUCUUUGCUAUUUUCUAUAUAACUUUAUACUGAUUAUUUUCUUUACAGCAUUACCCAGUACAAAAAGACAUAAUACACACCAAAAUAAUAGGAAUACUCAGAUAGGGUGUUGCUUAGUGAGUAAAGAAGGUUGGUCCCAGUUUUACAGGAGGGGAUUUGAAAGGGAAAGUUACAUCAUGUGCAGGCUAAGGGAGGGCUUUUACAAAGGGCAGGAUGGGAAAUGAGGCACUGGAGAGAGAUAAUGGCAAAGGAGAAAUGGAAUUAGCAGGGCCCAGGCAGUGCAGAGGAGUGACAGGUGAUGAGUCGCCCUGGCGAGAGGAGCAGAGCCUCACAAAAGGGACCCAGGCUUUGAAAGCCUUGCAGAAGAACAUUUGGGCUCAGAGAUUUGGGCUCUGAGAGUGUGUGUGGAGAGAGUGGAAAGGACAGGCAGGAUAUAUGAGCACUGCUCCUGAGGACAUCCGUAGUUCCAAAGGUUUAACAGAUCACAGGCAACAGGAGCAUAUAUGCAGCUCUUGUAAUAAAGCAUGUAAAUGUGCAAGCCACAUGAUCUGAAAUACAACUGCAUGUAAAAAAAAUUGUUGCCUGCUAUACAAUCUAUAAUAUAUCAAACUCUAGUAAUACAUAUAUACCUAUAUAUAUAUAUAUAUUCCCAUGUUACCUCUGUUAGCUAGACUUUUUUUCAACAUGGCACAGUUAAAACCACCAUCACACAAAUAGAAAUGCAAUUAAGCCAUUUCACAAAUAAUUUAUGUCUAUUUAAAUGGAAGCUUCAAUCCCAGUAAAGUUUUAGGAACUGACAGCUCAAUCUAGGCAGCAUCCCUGCUGCUGUCUCCCCUCUCCACUGGUUGGGAUCACUCCAGUAGCAGCACUGGUAUUUUAAUGUACCCCACCAAUGAAAAUAGACUGGAGAUAGCACAGCAGGCUGUGCACCAGAGUGGCAGGAGUGAAGACCCACCUAAAGACCCACUUUGUCCUGCCACCCCUUUUUUGCUAGCAGAGACUGUGAGCAGAGGCAUGAGAAACCAGAGGUUUCAACACCUGGAAGAGAUGCAGUGAGACCCAGCAGAAUUUGUUUGUGCCACAGUAAGUUACACACCACAGCUCCGCCGACCCAUCCCUCCUACCCCCCGCAACUGCCCGUGCAUACAUUUGCAGUGUGAUGUCUCCAGCCAAAAAUAAACAGCAUUGUGUACAUAAAAUCUGAAAGCAUGCCGAGUUAGAAAAUGUGAUUGGCCCUUUAUUAAUAUUUACAGUGACUUUAAAUUAACAGCAUUUCUUCUGCCACUCAUCUGUCGAGAAGUCUGCUGUAGGAGAAGCCCGAUAAGCUGCGGGGAAAGCACUGGUGUUUGAAGACGAUUUAGUCCAAAGCGGAAAACUGAGAUAUUUUGAGGCAUUACAUUGUAUCUCCCUAUUCCACCACAGCCCUCACGCACGCAUGUUUCGAUAAAACUGCGCCGCGGAGCUCUAAUUGCAUUGUGGCUUUUUGAUGUCUACUCAAACAACAUUAGCUUUGCUGUCAUGUUUUACAAUGUAAAAAAUUUUGGUGAAAAUGUCAGCAGGAUGGUAUCUUUAAUCAUAUUUAUUGAUUGACCUCAAAAGACACAGUGCAAUUUAACUGGAACCCCUCAAUGCAGCCAGGGUCAGGUUCAGACAGUGCCUGUUCCUAACACUGCCUGGAGCCCCAAUUUCAUGAGUAGCUUUUAUGUCUAGUGUCCUUGAAGUCGCUUGACAUCCCUUCUUUCAGCCCUUCCUUAUUACAGCUAAUGCAAUACGCUGCAUAGCUAGAGACGCUUACUUCUAGAGAAUACGAGGGUUUAAAAGGUAAUCUCUGGAGUAGGAAAUGCAUCUGUUCAUCAGUGCCAGCUGCAGUUUGCUGUUCUCUGACCAGUCCGAGACGUGAUGGGACCCCCGCACAGCCCGGCGUGGGAAGGCGCAGUCUGAUCCCCAAACCCGUCGCAGCUGUGCUGUCCAGCCGUCCCACAGGGACACGUUGAUCCCAGCUCUUUGCGCGCAGCCGGCGUUUGUCGCCUGUGCCCAAAAGCCGGGGCAGCAGCGCUCCUGGCAGCGCAGGACGGGGUUGAAGUUGGCUCACGCCCCGCUUGGCCGCUGUCUCCAUCCUCGGGGCUCGGAGGCUGGCGAGAAGCACCCCGGGGAAGGGCCGGCUGCGGGGCACCGGGGGAAGGACCUGUCACACACACAAGUGCCUCGCCCGCACGGCACGGCACAGCCCCGGCAGGGCAG